Molecule: long non-coding RNA, 478 nt
Organism: Equus caballus (horse)
Lineage: Eukaryota; Metazoa; Chordata; Mammalia; Perissodactyla; Equidae
Source: RefSeq, a predicted model, not a curated record
UUUUCCUGCUCCCUCCGCAGCUAGUUGUGGCCACAAGACUAGGUUGUUUCCACUGAAGUGUGAGCAAAAGUGAUAGAUGCCAUUCAAGCCUUGCCUUGAGAACUUGCAUGCUCACUCCUACGGCUCUUUCUUCCUUCCUACAGGCUGAAAUACUGAUGACAAGACAGACCUUAGAAGCCACAUGUUGAAGAUGGAAGGACUGCCCUCGUUCUGAUUCAGUUCGCGGGAAGCAGCUCAUAUUGAUUCUUUCGUUUAACAACUUGUCUGCUUUGAUGAACACAGAUCAACGUCAGCUUUUUGUGACCCUUAGGGAAAUCAUCUAUACCUAGAGUCUGGCUGUGCAGCUGAUAGCUGGCUUAACAAGAUAGCCCCACAUCCUCUCCACAAGGACCUCUCUGCAAUCUCAUGCAGCGUGUUUGACGUUCCGAAACAAUCACAAAGUUUUCUCAUCUCUAAUGACUCUCCAGGACUGUGAGAA